GCCGGACAUGGUGGCACAUGCCUGUAAUCCCAGCUACUUGGGAGGCUGAGGCAGGAGAAUCGCUUGAACCCAGGAAGCGGAGGUUGUGGUAAGCCGAGAUCACGCCACUGCACUCCAGUCUGGGAGUGCACUCCAACAAGGAGUUUCGCUCUUUUUGCCCAGGCUGGAGUGCAGUGGCGGGAUCUCAGCUCACCGCAACCUCCACCUCCCGGGUUCAGGUGAUUCUCCUGCUUCA
This 235-nucleotide small RNA is filed under the name Pongo abelii (Sumatran orangutan). The record is from RNAcentral. Lineage: Eukaryota; Metazoa; Chordata; Mammalia; Primates; Hominidae.